This 274-nucleotide ribosomal RNA is filed under the name uncultured bacterium. Its description in RNAcentral is "partial 16S ribosomal RNA". It matches the Rfam family "Bacterial small subunit ribosomal RNA", at positions 523 to 796 of the family's 1533-position model. The record is from RNAcentral.
AUACGGAGGGUGCAAGCGUUGUCCGGAUUUAUUGGGUUUAAAGGGUGCGUAGGUGGCUUUUUAAGUCAUUGGAGAAAUUUUGCAGCUCAACUGUAAAACUGCCAUUGAAACUGGGAAGCUUGAGUGUCGUAGAGGCAGGCGGAAUUUAUGAUGUAGCGGUGAAAUGCAUAGAUAUCAUAAAGAACACCGAUAGCGAAGGCAGCUUGCUAAGCGAUAACUGACACUAAUGCACGAAAGCGUGGGUAGCGAACAGGAUUAGAAACCCUAGUAGUCC